CCUACGGGAGGCAGCAGUGAGGAAUAUUGGUCAAUGGCCGCAGGGCUGAACCAGCCAAGUCGCGUGAGGGAUGACGGUCCUAUGGAUUGUAAACCUCUUUUGUCAGGGAGCAAAGGGCGCCACGUGUGGCGUUUUGCGAGUACCUGAAGAAAAAGCCUCGGCUCACUCCGUUCCAGCAGCCGCGGUAAUACGGAGGAUGCGUGCGUUAUCCGGAUUGAUUGGGUUUAAAGGGUGCGCAGGCGGAAUGUCAAGUCAGCGGUAAAAUAUCGGGGCUCAACCCCGUCGUGACGUUGAAACUGGUGUUCUUGAGUGAGCGAGAAGGAUGCGGAAUGCGUGGGGUAGCGGGGAAAUG
RNAcentral lists this ribosomal RNA (352 nucleotides) under uncultured bacterium. RNAcentral's name for it is "partial 16S ribosomal RNA". It matches the Rfam family "Bacterial small subunit ribosomal RNA", at positions 338 to 688 of the family's 1533-position model. The record is from RNAcentral.